UGCUGCCUCCCGUAGGAGUCUGGACCGUGUCUCAGUUCCAGUGUGACUGAUCAUCCUCUCAGACCAGUUACGGAUCGUCGCCUUGGUAGGCCUUUACCCCACCAACUAGCUAAUCCGACCUAGGCUCAUCUGAUAGCGUGAGGCCCGAAGAUCCCCCACUUUCUCCCUCAGGACGUAUGCGGUAUUAGCGCCCGUUUCCGGACGUUAUCCCCCACUACCAGGCAGAUUCCUAGGCAUUACUCACCCGCCCGCCGCUGAAUCCAGGAGCAAGCUCCCUUCAUCCGCUCGACUUGCAUGUGUUAGGCCUGCCGCCAGCGUUCAAUCUGAGCCAGGAUCAACUCUAAUCGAAUUCCG
RNAcentral lists this ribosomal RNA (354 nucleotides) under Pseudomonas aeruginosa. RNAcentral's name for it is "partial 16S ribosomal RNA". Lineage: Bacteria; Pseudomonadati; Pseudomonadota; Gammaproteobacteria; Pseudomonadales; Pseudomonadaceae. The record is from RNAcentral.